This 253-nucleotide ribosomal RNA is filed under the name uncultured bacterium. Its description in RNAcentral is "partial 16S ribosomal RNA". It matches the Rfam family "Bacterial small subunit ribosomal RNA", at positions 524 to 776 of the family's 1533-position model. The record is from RNAcentral.
UACAGAGGGUGCGAGCGUUAAUCGGAAUUACUGGGCGUAAAGCGUGCGUAGGCGGUUGCUUAAGUCAGAUGUGAAAGCCCUGGGCUCAACCUGGGAAUGGCAUUUGAAACUGGGCAGCUAGAGUGUGAUAGAGGAUGGCGGAAUUCCCGGUGUAGCGGUGAAAUGCGUAGAGAUCGGGAGGAACAUCCGUGGCGAAGGCGGCCAUCUGGAUCAACACUGACGCUGAGGCACGAAAGCGUGGGGAGCAAACAGG